GAUGAACGCUGACAGAAUGCUUAACACAUGCAAGUCUACUUGAAUUUGGGUUUUUUAACUUAGAUUUGGGUGGCGGACGGGUGAGUAACGCGUAAAGAACUUGCCUCACAGCUAGGGACAACAUUUGGAAACGAAUGCUAAUACCUGAUAUUAUGAUUAUAAGGCAUCUUAGAAUUAUGAAAGCUAUAUGCGCUGUGAGAGAGCUUUGCGUCCCAUUAGCUAGUUGGAGAGGUAACGGCUCACCAAGGCGAUGAUGGGUAGCCGGCCUGAGAGGGUGAACGGCCACAAGGGGACUGAGACACGGCCCUUACUCCGACGGGAGGCAGCAGUGGGGAAUAUUGGACAAUGGACCAAGAGUCUGAUCCAGCAAUUCUGUGUGCACGAUGACGUUUUUCGGAAUGUAAAGUGCUUUCAGUUGGGAAGAAAAAAAUGACGGUACCAACAGAAGAAGUGACGGCUAAAUACGUG
Molecule: ribosomal RNA, 468 nt
Filed under: uncultured bacterium
Lineage: Bacteria
Description: partial 16S ribosomal RNA
Rfam family: Bacterial small subunit ribosomal RNA
Source: RNAcentral